This 467-nucleotide ribosomal RNA is filed under the name uncultured bacterium. Its description in RNAcentral is "partial 16S ribosomal RNA". It matches the Rfam family "Bacterial small subunit ribosomal RNA", at positions 29 to 507 of the family's 1533-position model. The record is from RNAcentral.
ACGAACGCUGGCGGCGUGCUUAACACAUGCAAGUCGAACGGAAAGGCCCUGCUUUUGUGGGGUGCUCGAGUGGCGAACGGGUGAGUAACACGUGAGAAACCUGCCCUUGACUUUGGGAUAACUUCAGGAAACUGGGGCUAAUACCGGAUAGGAGCUCCUGCUGCAUGGUGGGGGUUGGAAAGUUUCGGCGGUUGGGGAUGGACUCGCGGCUUAUCAGCUUGUUGGUGGGGUAGUGGCUUACCAAGGCUUUGACGGGUAGCCGGCCUGAGAGGGUGACCGGCCACAUUGGGACUGAGAUACGGCCCAGACUCCUACGGGAGGCAGCAGUGGGGAAUAUUGCACAAUGGGCGGAAGCCUGAUGCAGCAACGCCGCGUGCGGGAUGACGGCCUUCGGGUUGUAAACCGCUUUCGCCUGUGACGAAGCGUGAGUGACGGUAAUGGGUAAAGAAGCACCGGCUAACUACGUG